This 1361-nucleotide ribosomal RNA is filed under the name uncultured bacterium. RNAcentral's name for it is "bacterial SSU rRNA". It matches the Rfam family "Bacterial small subunit ribosomal RNA", at positions 28 to 1381 of the family's 1533-position model. The record is from RNAcentral.
AUUGAACGCUGGCGGCAGGCCUAACACAUGCAAGUCGAGCGGUAGCACAGAGAGCUUGCUCUCGGGUGACGAGCGGCGGACGGGUGAGUAAUGUCUGGGAAACUGCCUGAUGGAGGGGGAUAACUACUGGAAACGGUAGCUAAUACCGCAUAACGUCGCAAGACCAAAGUGGGGGACCUUCGGGCCUCAUGCCAUCAGAUGUGCCCAGAUGGGAUUAGCUAGUAGGUGGGGUAAUGGCUCACCUAGGCGACGAUCCCUAGCUGGUCUGAGAGGAUGACCAGCCACACUGGAACUGAGACACGGUCCAGACUCCUACGGGAGGCAGCAGUGGGGAAUAUUGCACAAUGGGCGCAAGCCUGAUGCAGCCAUGCCGCGUGUGUGAAGAAGGCCUUCGGGUUGUAAAGCACUUUCAGCGGGGAGGAAGGCGUUAAGGUUAAUAACCUUGGCGAUUGACGUUACCCGCAGAAGAAGCACCGGCUAACUCCGUGCCAGCAGCCGCGGUAAUACGGAGGGUGCAAGCGUUAAUCGGAAUUACUGGGCGUAAAGCGCACGCAGGCGGUCUGUCAAGUCGGAUGUGAAAUCCCCGGGCUCAACCUGGGAACUGCAUUCGAAACUGGCAGGCUAGAGUCUUGUAGAGGGGGGUAGAAUUCCAGGUGUAGCGGUGAAAUGCGUAGAGAUCUGGAGGAAUACCGGUGGCGAAGGCGGCCCCCUGGACAAAGACUGACGCUCAGGUGCGAAAGCGUGGGGAGCAAACAGGAUUAGAUACCCUGGUAGUCCACGCCGUAAACGAUGUCGAUUUGGAGGUUGUGCCCUUGAGGCGUGGCUUCCGGAGCUAACGCGUUAAAUCGACCGCCUGGGGAGUACGGCCGCAAGGUUAAAACUCAAAUGAAUUGACGGGGGCCCGCACAAGCGGUGGAGCAUGUGGUUUAAUUCGAUGCAACGCGAAGAACCUUACCUGGUCUUGACAUCCACAGAACUUUCCAGAGAUGGAUUGGUGCCUUCGGGAACUGUGAGACAGGUGCUGCAUGGCUGUCGUCAGCUCGUGUUGUGAAAUGUUGGGUUAAGUCCCGCAACGAGCGCAACCCUUAUCCUUUGUUGCCAGCGGUUAGGCCGGGAACUCAAAGGAGACUGCCAGUGAUAAACUGGAGGAAGGUGGGGAUGACGUCAAGUCAUCAUGGCCCUUACGACCAGGGCUACACACGUGCUACAAUGGCAUAUACAAAGAGAAGCGACCUCGCGAGAGCAAGCGGACCUCAUAAAGUAUGUCGUAGUCCGGAUUGGAGUCUGCAACUCGACUCCAUGAGGUCGGAAUCGCUAGUAAUCGUAGAUCAGAAUGCUACGGUGAAUACGUUCCCGGGCCU